UGAAGAAGGUAUCUUUGGGUCUGGCUCUUGUCUAUGUUUCUUGGAACAGAACGUCACAGAGGGUGAGAAUCCCGUGCGAUGAGAUGAUCCAGGCCUAUGUAAAGUUCCUUCGAAGAGUCGAGUUGUUUGGGAAUGCAGCUCUAAGUGGGUGGUAAAUUCCAUCUAAAGCUAAAUAUUGGCGAGAGACCGAUAGCGAACAAGUACAGUGAUGGAAAGAUGAAAAGAACUUUGAAAAGAGAGUGAAAAAGUACGUGAAAUUGUUGAAAGGGAAGGGCUUGAGAUCAGACUUGGUAUUUUGUAUGUUACUUCUUCGGGGGUGGCCUCUACAGUUUAUCGGGCCAGCAUCAGUUUGGGCGGUAGGAGAAUUGCGUUGGAAUGUGGCACGGCUUCGGUUGUGUGUUAUAGCCUUCGUCGAUACUGCCAGCCUAGACUGAGGACUGCGGUUUAUACCUAGGAUGUUGGCAUAAUGAUCUUAAGUCGCCCGUCUUGA
RNAcentral lists this ribosomal RNA (490 nucleotides) under Candida tropicalis. RNAcentral's name for it is "partial large subunit ribosomal RNA". It matches the Rfam family "Eukaryotic large subunit ribosomal RNA", at positions 151 to 657 of the family's 3401-position model. Lineage: Eukaryota; Fungi; Ascomycota; Pichiomycetes; Serinales; Debaryomycetaceae. The record is from RNAcentral.